Molecule: non-coding RNA, 26 nt
Filed under: Homo sapiens (human)
Lineage: Eukaryota; Metazoa; Chordata; Mammalia; Primates; Hominidae
Source: RNAcentral
UGCACAACACGGUUACCAACAGGGAU